CUUUAAGUCGAAAUAAAGGGCUUCAUCGUGUGGACGGGUGCAAGUUUACAUCGAUUUAACGCUGCUAAAUUCGACCUAAAGUCCUAGUGUAGACCAGGGCUAGGGGAUGGUAUUGUGAGAUGGAAGAUCGGCUCACAGUUUCAUCACUUUCUCCAUUUUCAGUUCCAACAAUUCUAGGGUCUGAAUCUCAGCAAGGGUCCAGUUCUUAAUUCCCUGCAGUCAGAUCAGGACACAGGGUAGCAUGUGCUGUUCUAGUUCCCAGCUUCUUGGGGAAGUUCCUUACUUCCCUUUACACACUAGUCUAGACAUUUCCAGUUUCUGAACCAUGUGAGCGCCUCUCACCAAGCCCUGGAACUUCCUGCCUUUGUUCUGCAAAGUGAGAUGCUCAACUGGUGCCCGAGGGGAUGCUGAACAGCGCUCUGCUCCCUUCAUCCUGCAGUUCUCAUUCAUUUAACACUGCACAGAAAAUACUUAGUUCAUUUACUCAGACUUAUCAAAGAACCAAACCCCACAGUAGGUUCAGAGCUCUGUAAUAAAGCACAACACUGGAACCUCACACCGCUAGUGCCACUAACCCAAAGCAAAAACUUCUCUUUUGGGCCACCUUGUGACAAUGGGCUGCCCAUUAGAGCAGAGCUUCCGCACUGAAUGCAUCUCAUCAGAAUUUAACGCUCUUAUUAAAGAAAUGCUACCAGACCAAGGAGCUAAUAUUCCAGUAAGCUCUAGCCCAACAUACAGUUUAUUCCCCAGCUUCAGGACUGUAAACAACCAAAAACUCUUCCUAUGCUUGCUAGUUUUCCACAGGAACUGGUGCACAGGCUGCAUUCCCCAGCUGAUGUCAGACAAGGAUCCUGAAAGUCUCCAACGGAGUGGAUGGGAAAUACUGUGUGGCUACAAUUGCUCCUCCCUCAUUUCUAAAGUAACCUAAGGGAGGAUUCUGGCAGUUCCCCUAGACCCCACACCAUUGCAGCCUUCCAGGGCUGACCGAGUGUUGGGACGUGGCGAGGGGGAGGGGGUCAGAGCCAGCCCUGAGAUAUCAAGCAAACUUUCAGCAAUUUGACAAAGGAUGCAGCUCUCAGCCCCAUCUGCCUCCCCUUGCCCACCAUUCAUACUCCGUUCCCCCAGCAUGCACGCACAGGGGGAAGGAGAGGAGGAGCUAGCGCUACAAGACCUGUGGCUGACACCCCUCCCCCCUCAGAUGGCAGCGGUAUGUCUCUCUCUCUCUCCCACUCCCCCCAGGUGGCUGGCAAGAGAGAUGGAAGAGAUGUGAACUUUAACUUUUCUCCAGGAUGGCAACAUCCAUUGGGGCGGCUUCCCACACGUGCAGCAAGGAUGUUCGUCCACAGCCAUGAAAAUAACUUGACUGGGUGAUGGCGUCUCAAUGCCAGGAAAUGCAACUUCAAACCCCUGCCACGCUCCUGCUGGCACACAGCACUGAAGGCUCCUCACUACUCUGGGAUUAACUGCCCUUCUUGGGUCACUAGCUGCACCAUUGCUUUCUGCUGCUUGUGCACUGGCUGGAGCAGUCAGAAUUACACCGUGCAUUGACAGCUCUUUUCAUGCUCAAAAGGUUCUACAAACAGUAGCUAGAUUCUCUAUGCACCUAUGAGAACGAUACAGGUUAUCCUCAUUUAGCCAGGGAGGAACAGGUAAAGUUCACUUUCCCAAGGCCUCAUAGGGACUCUGCGUGAGCUAGAAUUAGACGUCAGUCCAGGGUAAAACAAAUCCCAGCCUCGUCUUUAACCCCUUUAAAUCUCUCAGAAACUGACAGGCCAUUGGGGGCUUGGUGGUUUCUUAUUCAACAGACUGGACCCCAUAUCCCUGCAUUUUUGGCUAGUCUGUCUGGAAUCAUAUUUAUUAAAUACAAAGACUGGGUGUAAAGGCACUGUCAUGCGCUGCCUGGAGUGACGGGGCUACUGCUCUAGCAGAGUGCAUGAGUGAAACUGUGCUGCCACCUGCCAGUGUAUAAUGGGAAGUGUUAGACAAGGACAGAGCCAAAUGGUAAGGGGAGGAAAGCUCAUUCUCCCCCUCCCCCCGGCUGCCACACGCCUGUACCACUAAAUUCCAAGUGGAUCAAUUCAUUAGAUUCUGGUCCUGUUUUAAAAGACAUUUUUAUUAAUUGGGAAAUUAAAAAAGGAAUAAAGGCAAGUGGAGUGUUUGACACUUUGUACACAUUAAAUAUAACUGUCCUCUAUUCACGCGUACAGAGGAAGCAACAAGUGUAACAAACGUACCUACACAUUGCUUUUAUGGAACUUAAGUAGUACCAGCCAAAUGUCAAAGACAUUACUUCCAUCAAGGGCAGAGAAGCGAUUACUGUAUUCAAAACUCCAUGCCAAGUGACAUAAGAGAGCGGGUGGUGCAUCAGUCCAGCUGGGUGCCUCAGCAGGCCCAAUAAUUACAACUGAAAAGUCCCAAUCUCCUGCUUUCUCCAUCUGUGGCGAUGGUGUUCAGGCAGCGAGCCAAAGCCCUCAGUUGGACGCGUUGCAAUAGAAAUGGCUAAUUUAUAGUCAUAUUAUUUUGUUACCUUUCAUUUAUUUCAAGAAUUAAAUUGUUCUUCAACUGCAUGCAUCCCUGCCCCCACAUUCUCCUUGUGCUAGGCUAAAACUCCCCCUCCCCUUACAUUUGCAAGAAUUUGUUGUACAGGGCCUCCUGGAGAGAGAAACCCUUCCUUUCCAUGCCCACAGUGUGUUUAGCCAAAAUAAAAUUCACCCCAUGUUACAUCUGUGCAACAGCUUGAUCCCAAUAGGUCAGUUAUGUCUUUCCUUGGAGAAGAUUGCCCCAUCCCUUCCUUAUCGUGAAUUAGUCAGACCAUAUAGGCACAAACUGCUCACCCUUGAGUCAGGAGCUCUAGCACGUUGGCCAAUCUGGCAUAUGGAGCUUUGAGGAAAGACCAAAAUAAACCCACUUUUCCCCCUUCAUAUGAAUAAAUACUAGGAUUUAAAGAAUCUUAGGUUGGACAGUAAGCUCUUCGGGGCAAGGACUGUCUUUUUGUUGGGUGUGUACACAGUGCUCAGGACAAUGAAGCCCUGGACCAUAAAUAGGGGUCUAGGCACUACCAUACAAAUAAUAAAUGGAGGUUACUUACCUGGAACUGGAGGUUCUGUAUUCUACACAGGCGCGCAUACACACACCAUGUGUCUCAGAUGGGGAACUCUUGCAAGCCGUGUCCAUUGGACUGUGGCUGCACCCUGGAGUUCCCCCAUGCUCACCAUCAAAGCUGUAAGGGGAGGUGCUGAUUGACCACUUCUCCAAUUUCUUCUCUAACAUGAAUCCAGUCAUGAUCUGAAGCAGACGGGAAGGAGCAGGGGUAAUGGAAUACAGAUAGGGACCACACCGCUCAAAGAACCUCCAAUGACAGCUUGUCUGAUGUCAAGAGAGUGAAGCCUCCACUCUUUGCUGAAGUUAUACGGUUUCAGAAAGAAUAUUGAUUAUCAUAGGUGACAGGAGGCAGAGCGAAGAUAAGACUGUCACCUGAACUUCCUGGCUAGAUCUGCCUAUUAGAAGCCAUUUGUCCAAGUACAGGAAAAUGGGGUUGCUGUUUUGUCUCAUCUGUGCUACUACCACUGAGAAGACCUUUCUGAAGACUCUGGGUGCUGUUGCCAGACAGAACAGGAGUGCUCAGAAACGGAAGUGUCCCUGUGCUAUCAGAAACCUGAGGAAUCUCCUGUAGGAAUGGAAACAAACAUCUUUCCUGAACCAUAUUUCUUUUUCCAGGGAGGGAAUUACUGAUACCAAUUUAGCCAUGGGAAUUUUAAUUUGCAAAUAAAAGUAUUUAGCUGAUGCAAGUCAAGAAUGGGCAGCCAUCCUCCCUUUUUCUUGGGAACUGAGAAAUAUUGGGAAUAGAAUCUUUACCUUGAUGCUGCGGUGGCACUCGCUCGAUAGCCCCUCAUUCGAGCAGGGAGUACCCCUCUUAUUGGAGGAUCUCCUUGUGAAAGUGGUUGCUGAAGAGAGGCUGGGAGGAGGGGUUGUGGGGAGGUGGGAAAGAAACUUGAUGGUACAGCCCAAGUGGAUAAUAUCUAGUACCUACUUGUCCAUUGUUGUAGCCCUCCAGCUGUGCGUGAAGUAUGCUAGGUGGCCACCAAAGGUUUGGGAAAUAGGUGGGGAGUGAUUUGGUUUGCAACUCUCAAAUGUCCUUUCAGAAGUAAACUUUAGCUGGUGGAUGAGGUUGGAUGGCUGACAUCGAGAUUGAUGGGUUUGCAUACGUUGGUCUUUGCAACUUCUGAUGCUUGCAUAGCGCUUCGUAUGGUCACUGGCUGCAAAAAAAACUGUGGAAGAAGCCUGGGUUUAUAUAUCUGUUUAUGAUGUUUCCUCUUUGGGGCUACGGUAUAAAUGCUCAGGGAACAGAGGAUUGUCCUUGAGUCUUUUAAUGAGUGCAAGCCCUCAAUGGUGUUCUGAAUCUCUCAAAGGAAUCCUCAAGAGAGAAGCCACAAUUCAUGCCACAUUACCAUUGCAAUUGCUAUGGUUCUAGAUAUGGGAUCAGCAAUGUCAACUGCAGCUUGGAGUGAAGUUUGUGGCAUGAGUAUACCCUGUCCUCCUGAGUAAGUUUAUCUGUAUAGUCCAAGAACUUGGAAUCAUUCAUAAAAUCAUACUUCACUAACAGGGCUGGUAGUUAGCAACUCUAAACUGGAGGCUGAUGGAUGCGAACACCUUCCGCCUCAGAAUGUCAAAACAUUUAGCACCCUUCUCUGCAAGGGUAGUCUUGGGGUGUUGUUGCCUAGAUCCUUCCAUGGCUGCUCGUACAACUAGAGAGUUAGAGGCAGGACGGGUGAAGAAAAAUUCUGACCCUUUCACAGGGACAAAGUAUCAUCACUCAGCUCUUUUGGGGGUAAAAGAGCAUGAUGUAGGUGUGUGCCAUCCCAACCUGGUAGGUUCCAUGAUAGCCUCAUUUACUGGGAGACCUACCCGAUUGGGUCCCCUGGGCUGUACGAUGAACAAGAGUUUAUGCUGUGCGUCAUGAACUUCCUCAAGUGGGAUCUGAAGUUCAGUUGGUACCCUCUGCAAGAGUUCUGGGUAGUGCUUGUGGUUAUCCAGCAGGGAUAAUGAAGACGGGGCAAUUGCCUCAUUGGGCAAGGAGGAUGAUUCACCUGUCUGUACCAGUAGAUCCAGCUCAACGUCUUCCUCCUCUGUUUACUUCAGAGGCGCCAACUGCUAUUGCCUAAGGGAAGAGGACUGGUGAGACUCUCACAUGGAUCCAGGAUACCACAUAUAGGGAUCCCAUGGACCCCAAUAAGGCCAGUUCAAAGGCUGGUGGGGGGAGGAUCCCCAAGGCAUUGGGCCAGGGCCAAUCAUAGGUGGGGCCAGGAGGGCCAUUUGGCCUGGGCCUCAAGCUCAAAGGGGGCCUCAAAUUUAGACAUUUCUUAUUUUUUUUGGCAUUUGAUAAGUUUCGCAACUUGUUUUUAUGCGCAUCCCUA
Chelonia mydas (Green sea turtle) is the source of this 5414-nucleotide long non-coding RNA. RefSeq lists it as uncharacterized. The transcript is spliced from 3 exons. The record is from RefSeq and is a predicted model, not a curated record. Lineage: Eukaryota; Metazoa; Chordata; Testudines; Cheloniidae.